UUUUUUAUUCAUUAGGUUUUAUGUGCAUAUAUGGUCUGUAAUUUAAAUGUGUUUUUAAAAACUAUCUACGUAUGUAUAUUUUUUGUGUUGGUAUUUAAAAAUUGAUUAAUGUUCCAUAAAUUAAUAAAUUAACAAAAUAUAUAAAAAGAUCAAAUAAUAAAGGAAACAACUAUAAAAUGGACUAUCAAAAAUAUAUGAGUGUGAGAUAAAAUUUAGGCUAACCUGGUUGAAGAUCCAUUCAACCUAUUGUGGUCGACACCUUCUAGAUAGUCUUGUUAUGAAGUGUUUGAUGUGGAAAAUGAGGCCUUCAAGUACUUGAUAACAAAACAAAAAAUAUCAAGGUGUGAAACUAAAAAAAUUCUUUUGAAAAAUUAACUCAUGAACCACAACAAAAGAAUACAGCACCGAGGUACAUUGGAGGUGCCUAUGACUGAAUUAAAAAAUUAACCUUAAAGGUAAGGAUAUAGAAUUAAAUAAAAAGAAAAUUAAAUUUAAUUAUAAAUACUCUUUGAAGAAGGACACAACAGAUUCAGCAUCAGAUAGGUCUGUAAUGCUUGAGAAAUAAUAUACUGAUGAUAAUGUGUAAUCAUGCAGCUUAAUAGUUAUUACCAGGUUUAUUACUUUGAAGUAACGUAUGUAUAGAGCAUUUAGCAGCAAAGGUUAUUAUAACUGAUGAGUUAAAAAAGGAAUUCAAACUAUCGAAUCCUUUAUCUUCUAUUUUUAAGCACAUUUAGGCUGAAAAAUCUUAAUUUUUGUAUCCUAUAAUAUUGCUGAAAGUUUUAAAUAAUAUUUUCAAAUUAAGUCAUAAAAAAAUUAAGAUAAUUAAAAAUCAAAAUUAAAGGAACACAUGUGCUUCUAGUUGUUGAUUUAAAUUUAUGAAAAAUAAAAAAUUAUUUAAUUCAAAUGGUUCCAUUAAAUGAAUAGGUCAAUUUUAGAUUAGCAUUUUUCUUCCCAAAUCUCAACAGUUUGCGUGCUCACCAGACCCCCCAAUAUUAGCGUAAGUCUGAAAUCAUUUCCUAAAGAAAAUGUCAAUCUCAUCUCUCAUUCAAACUGUUUGUUAAUCUAAGCCCCAACCUUCUCAACGCAGAACCACUCUGCAGCUCCUACCAUCAAACCAACCAUAAACCUCCAUCCAUCCUCUGCAAUAAUCUUGCUCAUUAAUAUCUCUCUACUGGUAGCGCUUUGUUAAUCCCCCUUUCUCACCAUCUAACUAUUAUACUGUUUCUCUGGGUUAAUUUUCUCGAAUACAGUUGGGUUUUGCAGCGGUCAAAUGCGAAAUUCUGCGAAAAUUACUUCAACUGCUUAUUACACUUGCUGAACUUGAGUUAGUGGAUCUUAUUAUAUCUUAUUUGUGUUGAAUACUUUAUGUUUAUACUUGUUUGUGUCUUUGUAGUGGUGAAUUGGAGAGCCAUGAGGAGUAGCAACUGAAUCUGGUUAUUCAUCUUGUUGGUGGUAUCAAGGGAGCCAGUCUUUUCGUAAAUUUACCAUCCAAUCAAUCCUUUCCUCUGAUCCUUGCAUCUUAUGCUAGAUUUGCUAAUGCCACAAUUCAAAAUGCUCAACUUUGUAUGCCUGGAACACUUGAUCCAGCAAAAGCAAGGGGCAAAAUAGUCAUGUGCCUUCGAGGUGGGAAAAUAAGAUCGGUUGCUGAGGGCCAAGAAGCUUUAUCUGUAGGUGCAGUUGGAGUGGUCAUGGAAAAUGACGCUUAAAGUGGAAACACAGUUCUAGCUGAGCCUCAUGUUUUGUCCACUACAAAUGUGCCCAAAAAUAAUCAGAACAAAAAUGUUCAUGAUUAUUACAACAGUACCACAUAAGAGCCCUACUAUUAACAUGUCUGCAGCAAGAACAUUGCUUGGAACAAAGCCAGCUCCAGUUAUAGCCGCAUUCUCAUCUAGAGGUCCAAAUCCAAUUCAACCAUCAAUACUCAAGCAGGGGUGAACAUACUAGCUUCAUAUUCCUUAGCAGCAAGUGCAUCUAACUUGCCAUCAGAAACACGCCGUGGGUUCUGGUUCAAUGUGCUACAAGAAACUUCCAUGUCAUGCCCUCAUAUCUCUGGUGUUGCUGGUAGGAUGAAUCAUUUGUCAUGUCCUAUAGUUAGUAGGUGUGUGCCCACACUUCAGACAUGAUCACAAUAUGCAAAGUUCAAGAUUACAAUAAUUUUAUUUUUAUAAAUAAGAUAAAAAAUAAAAUAAAAUUGUACAGAUUCAUGUCAACCCAACAAACAAGAAUAGAUACUAACUAAACUUCUAAUUACAUAGACUUCACUUAUCAAAUUGCCCAAACUAAGUUACCAAGUAUAUAUGUUAGGAAUUAAAGAAGUGUAUGUAUACAUAUAAUUAGCACUCAAUUGUAUGGAGAUGGGAUUGUGUCAUUUAAGUUUUACAUCUUUCCUUUCUUUAGGAAUAUAAGAAAAAGAAUGCUUACCAAGUAAUCAGCAUACUGGGACAGUGUAUGAACCCAUUGAACAUAUAUUGCUGCAGCAUCUUCACUUGUCUUGUUCUUUCAAGAUUGACACAAAGAAUACCAGGACCAACUUUUCCACCA
Non-coding RNA from Arachis ipaensis, 2541 nucleotides. Lineage: Eukaryota; Viridiplantae; Streptophyta; Magnoliopsida; Fabales; Fabaceae. The record is from RefSeq and is a predicted model, not a curated record.